This 2195-nucleotide ribosomal RNA is filed under the name Niabella sp. RNAcentral describes it as "partial 23S ribosomal RNA". It matches the Rfam family "Bacterial large subunit ribosomal RNA", at positions 1 to 2398 of the family's 2925-position model. Lineage: Bacteria; Pseudomonadati; Bacteroidota; Chitinophagia; Chitinophagales; Chitinophagaceae. The record is from RNAcentral.
UCUCAAGCGUGAGGUAAGGGCAAUUCGUGGAUGCCUUGGCAUGUACAGGCGAUGAAGGACGUGGCACGCUGCGAUAAGCGUCGGUGAGGUGUGAGCAACCUUUGACCCGACGAUUUCCGAAUGGGGAAACCCACCUGAUCCGAUUAUCUCGACCAUGAGCAAUCAUGUUCGGGGUAAUUGGAGGAAGGUAUCACGUAGCUGAAUAAAAUAGGCUUCGUGAAGCGAACCCGGAGAACUGAAACAUCUCAGUACCCGGAGGAAAAGACAUCAACCGAGAUUCCGUUAGUAGUGGCGAGCGAACGCGGACCAGGCCAGUGCUUCUAAUUCAACUAGCAGAACGUUCUGGAAAGGACGGCCAUAGCGGGUGACAGCCCCGUAUGCGAAAGUGAUGUUAGAAGACUUGAGUAGGGCGGGACACGUGUAAUCCUGUCUGAAUAUAGGGGGACCACCCUCUAAGCCUAAAUACUCGUAUGCGACCGAUAGCGAACUAGUACCGUGAGGGAAAGGUGAAAAGCACCCCGAUGAGGGGAGUGAAACAGUACCUGAAACGGAUUGCCUACAAGCAGUUGGAGCCCUCUUGAGGGGUGACAGCGUACCUCUUGCAUAAUGGGUCUGUGACUUAAUGUACCAAGCAAGCUUAAGCCGAUAGGUGUAGGCGCAGCGAAAGCGAGUCUGAAUAGGGCGACUGAGUUUGAUGUAUUAGACCCGAAACCCGGCGAUCUAGGCAUGACCAGGAUGAAGGUGGGGUAACACCCACUGGAGGUCCGAACCGAUUAACGUUGAAAAGUUACCGGAUGAGUUGUGUUUAGGGGUGAAAGGCCAAUCAAGCCGGGAAAUAGCUGGUUCUCCGCGAAAACUAUUGAGGUAGUGCCUCGAGUGAAUACCGUAGGGGGUAGAGCACUGGAUGGGCUAGGGCGGCGCGAGCUGUACCAAACCUAACCAAACUCCGAAUACCUACGAGUACUGCUCGGGAGACAGACGGCGGGUGCUAAGGUCCGUCGUCAAAAGGGAAACAGCCCUGACCUACAGCUAAGGUCCCCAAGUCACGUCUAAGUGGGAAAGCAUGUGGGAAUCCCAAAACAACCAGGAGGUUGGCUUAGAAGCAGCCAUCCUUUAAAGAAAGCGUAACAGCUCACUGGUCUAAACAAGGGUUCCUGCGGCGAAGAUGUAACGGGGCUCAAGACGUGCACCGAAGCUUAGGGUGUGUCUUUGAACACGCGGUAGCGGAGCGUUCCGUAAGCCUGUGAAGCGAUCUGGUAAUGGGNNNNNNNNNNNNNNNNNNNNNNNGCCGGCCCCUAAGACGAGCCCGAAGGGGGUAGUCGAUGGGAACCACGUUAAUAUUCGUGGGCCUGGUGGUGUGUGACGGAUCUCGUGUGUUGUACGUCCUUAUCGGAUUGGACGUGCUUCGAAGAGGUUCCAGGAAAUAGCCCCACCGUAUAGACCGUACCCGAAACCGACACAGGUGGUCAGGUAGAGUAUACCAAGGCGCUUGAGAGAAGUGUCCUGAAGGAACUCGGCAAAUUGCCUCCGUACCUUCGGAAGAAGGAGGCCCUGCUUCUGGGCAACCAGUAGCAGGGGGCACAGGCCAGGGGGUAGCGACUGUUUAGCAAAAACACAGGGCUCUGCUAAGUCGGCUUCAAGACGACGUAUAGGGCCUGACGCCUGCCCGGUGCCUGAAGGUUAAGUGGAGGGGUGCAAGCUCCGAAAUGAAGCCCAGGUAAACGGCGGCCGUAACUAUAACGGUCCUAAGGUAGCGAAAUUCCUUGUCGGGUAAGUUCCGACCUGCACGAAUGGCGUAACGACUUCCCCACUGUCUCCAGGACAUGCUCAGCGAAAUUGAAUUCUCCGUGAAGAUGCGGAGUACCCGCGGUUAGACGGAAAGACCCCGUGCACCUUUACUGCAGCUUCAGAGUGGCAGUGGAGAACAACUGUGUAGAAUAGGUGGGAGGCUUUGAAGCGAUGGCGCCAGCUGUCGUGGAGCCACAAUGUGAAAUACCACCCUGUUGUUCUUUACUGUCUAACCACGCACCGUCAUCCGGUGCUGGGACCCUCUGUGGCGGGUAGUUUGACUGGGGCGGUCGCCUCCUAAAGAGUAACGGAGGCGCGCGAAGGUUGGCUCAGGCCGGUUGGAAACCGGCUGUUAGAGUGCAAUGGCAUAAGCCAGCCUGACUGCGAGACUGACAAGUCGAGCAGAG